AACCCAUAAUCACGAUAUCUUCUUCACUUAAUCGCCUCUUCCGUUACAGAAAUAAAUUGGGGUUCUUCCUUGGAUUGUUCUCCCCUAUUAACAACGACGUGAUUUACGCCAUUCAAUCCCUUUGAUUCCUAACCGGAUAAUCAAUUUGAUGCGUUACAUUAGAAGAACUACCCGCUGAAAUCCCUACAUAAACCUCACCAGAGGUUAUCAUCUUCCCAUGUUUCUCCAUUUCUUUCAUUCGCAUACGCUCUCAAAACUAUGAGAAUAUAAUGGCCGAAAGCAGGUGGUACACACCAUUACGCGCAGUUCUUGAAGGAGAUGGUCGAAUUUUACACCAACAUGAAUGACAUGAAGCUUAUAAUGGGAACUGGCCGUUCUACUCUUGGAGGUUGGAAACAAUUUCGCUACUCUGGGAUCGGAAAACAGGUCCGACAAAGAAAGGUCUCACAUUUAAAUUUUCUCUUACUAAUUGUUGUUUUAAUCUCUUUGAUCGAAUAAAAGAAAACAGACAUAUAAUGAUUUGACUAUAGAAAACUACAUAGAAGCAGUUGUGUAUUAGUAAAUUAAAGAGAGAAAGAAAGGAAGCAGUUGUAUUCAGGGACUCCCUCCUUGAUUAUCUCAAUAUCAUGCUCGAGAACUGAAAUUUGUAGGUUAUAGAAACAUCAGAAAGCAGGUAAAAUGACUUAUCAUAGCCAUGGAAUGGAGCAGUUUGUUUGUCAAAGAAGAUUUGCAUAUAUCAUUUUAUUGUAUUUGAGAUCAUCUUCUCUAUAUCCAUGGAAUAUCUGGCAAAUCCAGGUAAGCCUCACCAAUAACUAGCACUAAGUUGAUUUAAAGGGUAUUCGUAGGUUUCCAGUUUUGAUUUGUUGUUGGUUGACGUCAAAUGUGCAUGUUGUUGGUUGAUGAGAAGUCUGGAAGAUGUAAAGUUCAUAGCUGACUUCAAUAACUUCAAUAACUUUGUUAGCACCGCCCUGUAUUUGUUGCAGCACCAUCCCACAAAACACUCAUAUGGUUCCUUCUAUCACUAGAUCCACCUCUGCAUCCUUGCAGAGAGCUCAUACAUUAUUCUAACUCACGAUUAAUAUCUCAGUAUAUGUCACUCAAGGCCAAUAUACGUUCAAUGCAUUGUGUGAUCAAGAUGAUGAAUUGUGUUUUAUUUUCAGUCCAUUUUGUUGUCUUUACGAUUUAGUUUACUUAGUAAACUGUGAGGUGUGUAUAAUGAACAAUGUGCAUGUAAUAAGGUAGUCUUACUGUCCUGAAUGGAUGAAUUAUAAUGUA
Molecule: long non-coding RNA, 1275 nt
Organism: Papaver somniferum (opium poppy)
Lineage: Eukaryota; Viridiplantae; Streptophyta; Magnoliopsida; Ranunculales; Papaveraceae
Exons: 2
Source: RefSeq, a predicted model, not a curated record